UACGAGGGGGGCGAGCGUUGUUCGGAAUUAUUGGGCGUAAAGGGUGCGUAGGCGGUUUGGUAAGUCUUGUGUGAAAUCUACAGGCUCAACUUGUAGUCUGCACGAGAAACUGCUGGGCUUGAGUGUGGGAGAGGUGAGUGGAAUUCCUGGUGUAGCGGUGAAAUGCGUAGAUAUCAGGAGGAACACCUGUGGCGAAAGCGGCUCACUGGACCAUAACUGACGCUGAUGCACGAAAGCUAGGGGAGCAAACAGG
RNAcentral lists this ribosomal RNA (253 nucleotides) under uncultured bacterium. RNAcentral's name for it is "partial 16S ribosomal RNA". It matches the Rfam family "Bacterial small subunit ribosomal RNA", at positions 524 to 776 of the family's 1533-position model. The record is from RNAcentral.